RNAcentral lists this ribosomal RNA (386 nucleotides) under Matthewsius illawarrensis. RNAcentral's name for it is "partial large subunit ribosomal RNA". It matches the Rfam family "Eukaryotic large subunit ribosomal RNA", at positions 688 to 1037 of the family's 3401-position model. Lineage: Eukaryota; Metazoa; Arthropoda; Insecta; Coleoptera; Scarabaeidae. The record is from RNAcentral.
GAGUCAUUGGGACUCGAUUAAACCUAAAGGCGCAAUGAAAGUAAAGGUCCGCCUCGCGCGGACCGAGGGAGGAUGGGUCGGCCGACGCGCCGGCCCCGCACUCCCGGGGCGUCUCGUUCUCAUCGCGAGAAGAGGCGCACCCAGAGCGUACACGCUGGGACCCGAAAGAUGGUGAACUAUGCCUGGUCAGGACGAAGUCAGGGGAAACCCUGAUGGAGGUCCGUAGCGAUUCUGACGUGCAAAUCGAUCGUCGGAACUGGGUAUAGGGGCGAAAGACUAAUCGAACCUUCUAGUAGCUGGUUCCCUCCGAAGUUUCCCUCAGGAUAGCUGGCGCUCGCCUUUGCGAGUCUCAUUCGGUAAAGCGAAUGAUUAGAGGCAUUGGGGUC